CCUACGGGAGGCAGCAGUAAGGAAUAUUGGUCAAUGGACGAAAGUCUGAACCAGCCAUGCCGCGUGAAGGAUGAAGGCCCUCUGGGUUGUAAACUUCUUUUAUCUGGGACGAAAAAAGCUCAUUCUUGAGCACUUGACGGUACCAGAGGAAUAAGCACCGGCUAACUCCGUGCCAGCAGCCGCGGUAAUACGGAGGGUGCAAGCGUUAUCCGGAUUCACUGGGUUUAAAGGGUGCGUAGGUGGGUCUGUAAGUCAGUGGUGAAAUCUCCGAGCUUAACUCGGAAACUGCCAUUGAUACUAUAGGUCUUGAAUCAUCUGGAGGUAAGCGGAAUAUGUCAUGUAGCGGUGAAAUGCUUAGAUAUGACAUAGAACACCAAUUGCGAAGGCAGCUUGCUACGGGUGUAUUGACACUGAGGCACGAAAGCGUGGGGAUCAAACAGGAUUAGAUACCCUGGUAGUCCACGCCCUAAACGAUGGAUACUCGACAUCAGCGAUACACUGUUGGUUGUCGUGAGNGAAAGACGAUUAAGUAUCCUACCGUGGUUAGUUACGUACCGCGAGUAGAACGACAANAGAGUUAGAGGCGNGAGAGNGCGACGGACGACGACGAGGGAGGAGG
This 619-nucleotide ribosomal RNA is filed under the name uncultured bacterium. RNAcentral describes it as "bacterial SSU rRNA". The stretch from base 1 to 539 matches the Rfam family "Bacterial small subunit ribosomal RNA", at positions 338 to 873 of the family's 1533-position model. The record is from RNAcentral.